RNAcentral lists this long non-coding RNA (1840 nucleotides) under Olea europaea subsp. europaea. The record is from RNAcentral. Lineage: Eukaryota; Viridiplantae; Streptophyta; Magnoliopsida; Lamiales; Oleaceae.
UAUCCUCUUCUUAUUUUACCAUUUUAUAAAAUAAUUAUUUUCAACUAAUCUUCUUUUAUAUGAGUAAAAAAUUUCAUAUAAAAGAAAUUUUUUACUGAGGGACAUAUAUAUAUAUUUUAUUCUUUAAAAAACUUUGAAAAUCAGUGGAUAAAAAGCUGCCAAUCAUGGAUUGGAAAGUAUUAAAAACCACUAUUUCUUAAUUUAUGUAUAUAGAUGCAAAUGAUGAAAGCUGACUUUUGUGGAAACUGAUGUGGAAAUGACUGGACAUAAUAUGUUAGAACUUGGUGCAGUAAAUUAUGAGGUUGUAUAUAAGGGGGUUUUUUUUUUUUUUUUUUUUUAUGUUUUUAUGUUAAAUUUAAGCAAAAAUAAUACUUGUUUUUUUUCUAUCAUUUUUCAUUUGCUUACUCACUCUAAUUUAUUAACUAUACCCUCAUUUAUUUUUGUGAUGUGCAGAGAGUUAAUUAUUUUUGGGAUAAAAAAAUUGUUGAUCAAAUUAAUCAAAAUCGAUGUGGAUCAAUUGUUUUGUACUACUUUGAUUACUUAUUUUUCGAGUAGUAGUCUAUACUUUUGGAUGUUGAUAUCAACUAUAUGAGUAGGCUAUUGAUGUUCUUAGUUCAUUUCUAAAUUUACUCUAAAUUUCAAUAUUUGUAUUGGUUUCAUUUUUUGAAAUUAUGGAGGAAGUGAUUAUACAUGAGUUGGUAUUGAGAAUCAUGUUCUUUAAUUAUUAUAGGUUUAAUGGUUAUUGAAAAAUAAAUAUUUAAAAAGAAAUGAAUCUUUAUGGCAUACAAAACGUAGUGAUCAUAUAAAAUUUCAUCAUUUUUACGGCAUGCUGGUGCAAGCGUAAAAAAUAAAAUAAAAUGAGACGAACAUUUACGACAUACAAAAAUGUUUGCCUUAAAAAAUAUUAUCUUAUAACGGCAUGCAAACUCAUGCCGUAAAAGGUUAAUCAUUUAUGGCAUGCAAGGCAUGUCGUAACUAGUUCAUUAAUGGCGUGCUUUUUGUUUUUUACAGCUUGCGUAGAAUGCCAUAAAAAGAUACGCGUAUUUAUGGCAUGACUUUAUACGACAUGCGUAAACUACUUUUUAAUGCAUGACGUAAAAAGAAAACUUUGUUGUAGUCCUUUUUCAUUUGUGAUCAAUUAGAUGAGAAAUUCGAUUUUCAAUCAUCGUGAAAUUGUCAAAUCAUGUUUGGUCUAGUCUAAUGUUUCAAUGCAGAAGAGGACAAUAUCUAACCAACGCUUUCCUUGUUGUUCGUAUGUGAGGAUGAAGUGAGAAACUAAAAGCAUGUUUGGAAAGUAUUUGUAAUUGAUUUAAUAAAUAAAUAAAAAGAGUGAUGAAUAACUAAGUAAUACUUAUAUAAGUUUUCAGAAUGUGUAAAUAGAAAGUUAUUUGAGUGUUUAUAAAUAAUUCAUAUAUAUGACUAUGAGACAAGCAUAAGCAAAGUAUCAUUUUGAUGUGUUCUUUAUUGAUGCAAGAGCUGAAAUAUUCAUUUUUCAGAAUAAUUUUAAAUUCAAGAAAUGUCAAUUCGUUAAUAGACGGUAAAUUAAAUAAAUAUCGUUCACUAUUCUUUUCAACUAGGUAGAUAAUAUAGAGACGUAGACUUUUAGAUAUUGAUACGCGCCUUGUGGCUGUUACAAAUAAAGUACGGCACGUUAUCUUCUUGUGAAAUUAUAUAAUAAUUUAACAAAAGAAAUUGAGGGAUUCAACUUUUUAUAAGUGGUGGGCAACUUUUUUUAACAGUUACUCAUUUCUUGUACUUAUCACUUAAAUUUGAAUAUAAUUAUUAUUAUUUUUUAGCGGUAGGGAAAUUGAAGGGUUCAACUUUUUAUAAGUGGUAGGCA